Small nuclear RNA from Rattus norvegicus (Norway rat), 101 nucleotides. Ensembl annotates it as U1 spliceosomal RNA. The record is from Ensembl. Lineage: Eukaryota; Metazoa; Chordata; Mammalia; Rodentia; Muridae.
AGGGGAAAUACCAAGGUCAAAUAGGUGGUUUUCCCAGGCCUGUGUAUUGCUCUAUGAAUGUAUUGGCUCCUGUGAUUUUCCCAAACGCGGGAAAGUCAACU